GCUGGGGGCAGUGGCAUGUGCCUAUAGUCCCAGCUACUCUGGAGGCUGAGGCUGGAGGAUCGCUUGAGCUCAGGAGUUCUGGGCUGUAGUGCGCUAUGCUGAUCAGGUGUCCACACUAAGUUCGGCAUCAAUAUGAUGACCUUCCGGGAGCGGGGGACCACCAGGCUGCCUAAGGAGGGGUGAACGGGCCCAGGUCAGAAAUAGAACAGGUUAAAACUCCCAUGCUGAUCAGUAGUGGGAUUGCACCAAUGAAUAGCCACUGCACUCCAGCCUGGGCAACAUAGCAAGACCCCAUCUCU
RNAcentral lists this signal recognition particle RNA (299 nucleotides) under Saimiri boliviensis boliviensis (Bolivian squirrel monkey). RNAcentral's name for it is "Metazoan signal recognition particle RNA (ENSSBOG00000006980.1)". It matches the Rfam family "Metazoan signal recognition particle RNA". From Rfam's summary of the family: The signal recognition particle (SRP) is a universally conserved ribonucleoprotein. It is involved in the co-translational targeting of proteins to membranes. Lineage: Eukaryota; Metazoa; Chordata; Mammalia; Primates; Cebidae. The record is from RNAcentral.